AGCUCCAAGAGCAUAUAUUAAAGUUGUUGCAGUUAAAAAGCUCGUAGUUGGAUUUCUGGUUUAAUGCACCUGGCCCGCAGCCCUCAAGGCUUGUGAGUGCCGGCGCGCGUUUACCAUCUUUCUAGGUUUGUGCUCUCCCAUUUACUUGGCGGAGUUACAAUUCUCUAGAUCUUUUACUUUGAAAAAAUUAGAGUGUUUAAAGCAGGCUUUUGCCUAAAUAUAUUAGCAUGGAAUAAUAAUCUAGGACUUCGGUUCUAUUUUGUUGGUUCAUAAAGCUGAAGUAAUGAUUGAUAGGGACAGUUGGGGGUGCUAGUAUUGGCCGGCCAGAGGUGAAAUUCUUGGAUUCGGUCAAGACUAACUUAUGCGAAAGCAUUCACCAAGGAUGUCUUCU
Molecule: ribosomal RNA, 391 nt
Filed under: uncultured eukaryote
Lineage: Eukaryota
Description: SSU rRNA
Rfam family: Eukaryotic small subunit ribosomal RNA
Source: RNAcentral